AGUCGUAACAAGGUUUCCGUUGGAAGGAUCAUUAUCACGUAUCCACGUAGAAACCAAUUCGUGAACUGUUUUACACCUCUGGGUAUGACCGCUGUCAUUUGGACACAUGAGUUCAUUGUAUGAUUAUGGACUCGUCCUUGGCAAUUAAGGUUGUUUCUUCAGAGCGUAUUAAUCAUACUUUAAUUCUAUUAACCACUUGAACACUAUGAAAAUUUAUCUUUGUUUGAACUGAUUUGUUUCUUGCGCAGUGUGUGUGUAAUAGCAUCACACUGAGAAGAAAUCGCUUUACGAAACAAAAAAGAACAACUCUUAACAACGGAUAUCUUGGUUCUC
RNAcentral lists this unclassified non-coding RNA (333 nucleotides) under fungal sp. RNAcentral describes it as "partial internal transcribed spacer region". Lineage: Eukaryota; Fungi. The record is from RNAcentral.